This 85-nucleotide transfer RNA is filed under the name Brevinema andersonii. It matches the Rfam family "tRNA". From Rfam's summary of the family: Transfer RNA (tRNA) molecules are approximately 80 nucleotides in length. Lineage: Bacteria; Pseudomonadati; Spirochaetota; Spirochaetia; Brevinematales; Brevinemataceae. The record is from Rfam by way of RNAcentral.
GGAAAGGUGGCCGAGUGGUCGAAGGCGCACGCUUGGAAAGCGUGUAAACGGUAACGUUUCAUGGGUUCGAAUCCCAUUCUUUCCG